This 467-nucleotide ribosomal RNA is filed under the name uncultured bacterium. RNAcentral's name for it is "partial 16S ribosomal RNA". It matches the Rfam family "Bacterial small subunit ribosomal RNA", at positions 29 to 507 of the family's 1533-position model. The record is from RNAcentral.
ACGCACGCUGGCGGCGUGCUUAACACAUGCCAGUCGAACGGAAAGGCCCUGCUUUUGUGGGGUGCUCGGGUGGCGAACGGGUGAGUAACACGUGAGUAACCUGCCCUUGACUUUGGGUUAACUUCAGGAAACUGGGGCUAAUACCGGAUAGGAGCUCCUGCUGCAUGGUGGGGGUUGGAAAGUUUCGGCGGUUGGGGAUGGACUCGCGGCUUAUCAGCUUGUUGGUGGGGUAGUGGCUUACCAAGGCUUUGACGGGUAGCCGGCCUGAGAGGGUGACCGGCCACAUUGGGACUGAGAUACGGCCCAGACUCCUACGGGAGGCAGCAGUGGGGAAUAUUGCACAAUGGGCGGAAGCCUGAUGCAGCAACGCCGCGUGCGGGAUGACGGCCUUCGGGUUGUAAACCGCUUUCGCCUGUGACGAAGCGUGAGUGACGGUAAUGGGUAAAGAAGCACCGGCUAACUACGUG